RNAcentral lists this ribosomal RNA (465 nucleotides) under uncultured bacterium. RNAcentral describes it as "partial 16S ribosomal RNA". It matches the Rfam family "Bacterial small subunit ribosomal RNA", at positions 28 to 507 of the family's 1533-position model. The record is from RNAcentral.
GACGAACGCUGGCGGCGUGCUUAACACAUGCAAGUCGUACGGUAAGGCCCUUUCGGCGGUACACGAGUGGCGAACGGGUGAGUAACACGUGAGUAACCUGCCCACAACUUUGGGAUAACGCUAGGAAACUGGUGCUAAUACUGGAUAUGUGCUCCUGCUGCAUGGUGGGGGUUGGAAAGCUCCGGCGGUUGUGGAUGGACUCGCGGCCUAUCAGCUUGUUGGUGGGGUAGUGGCCUACCAAGGCGGCGACGGGUAGCCGGCCUGAGAGGGUGACCGGCCACAUUGGGACUGAGAUACGGCCCAGACUCCUACGGGAGGCAGCAGUGGGGAAUAUUGCACAAUGGGCGCAAGCCUGAUGCAGCAACGCCGCGUGCGGGAUGACGGCCUUCGGGUUGUAAACCGCUUUCAGCAGGGACGAAGCUUUUUGUGACGGUACCUGCAGAAGAAGCACCGGCUAACUACGUG